GGGUCUUCCUUCCCUUGUGAAGUCUCUUGUGUCCUGUAAAAUGUAAGGAACCGAUGUCCCCUGCAUUAGAGGUGGAUUCUUUUACCACUGGGCUACCAGGAAGCCCAUCAUGAUGGAUUUUUUAGCUUGGUUCACCAUCUGAACAUUUGAGAGGCCAUGAAGGAGUUGGGCCAAUUAAUGAGAGGAAGGGAGAAGCUGCGGAAGGGGGCAGCUGGAUCUCCUGCAGCCUCAAAUGUCAUCUCCCACAAGGCUGUGCAGAGCUGCAGUGAACACACACAGCAUAUGCACACACACACACACUCUCACUUACACGUAUUCAAACAUCAGCCCUCACACAAAGGUUCACACACCCGUGUUCAUGCACAGUCACGUUUGCCCACCUGAUGCUCAUCUGCCUUCACACUGACUCACUCCCACCUGUACACACACAACACACACACACAUGUGCACACGUGUGGAGACCCUGGCCGGCAGUCACAGAGAGAUCAGGGCGGGAAGAGGGGGACUUUUUCACCAGUCCCAUCGGCCCUCCUAAGGACUCUCCCUUCUUUGUAUCCUUAAUCUGGCUAAGGAGCCCAGGAAUCUCGGAACCAGUCCUCAAAAUUACCCUCUGUGAAAUCUCAGCCUCACUCUCCCUGGUGUCGGAUAUCUCUCUUGGUGUCUCCCAGGCCAAUGCUCAGUCACAGUUCUAUUUUACUAUCUGGUUGCCCCAGUAUGGUUUAGAGC
This is a long non-coding RNA of Bos taurus (domestic cattle), 726 nucleotides long. Lineage: Eukaryota; Metazoa; Chordata; Mammalia; Artiodactyla; Bovidae. The record is from Ensembl.